CAAGAUGGAGAGGUAUAAAUGGAAGGAGUAAAGUACUCCUUUAGCAGUUUGGGUUGUUCUUCAGCCAUCUCGACAGGUGGUGUAGAUCCUAUGAUUCUAUAGGUGCGGAUUUCGGCUCGAAGGGCCCUAAUAGAACGCUCUAUUUCAGGAGAUCUGGAACGACACCCUAGCAUACACUAAAGCUUGUUGGAUCAGUCAAGUACAGUCAAUCAUGCAUUAAAGGAAAAGCAUAUCAAAUCCUUGUGUUUAUCCUAAAAUCAUUAGACAGCUUCUAACUGGUUUGAAGAGGGCACCUAGGCCUCCAAUCCGGUCUAAUGAACUGAGUUGACCUGGUAAGCUCCCAGGUAAGUGGGGGGGUCACGAUGCGUUGCAAAGGUCCCACUUAAAAACCACUUGCCUCGAACAGAUGAACUGUCUUCCUUGGGACAAAGCUUGCCUAGACAUCAACUGAGCCACAGAGUGAAAUUGGUACAACUUUCGGUGAUCUUCAUCCUAUUGUGCUCAAAUAUCCCUAGGGGCCAACGUCUAAUUGAUUUUAAUUAAAAUGAUAGCUAUGUGAAAAUUGAU
RNAcentral lists this long non-coding RNA (567 nucleotides) under Phoenix dactylifera (date palm). RNAcentral describes it as "long non-coding RNA (PDAC_LNC020839)". Lineage: Eukaryota; Viridiplantae; Streptophyta; Magnoliopsida; Arecales; Arecaceae. The record is from RNAcentral.